Molecule: long non-coding RNA, 540 nt
Organism: Armigeres subalbatus
Lineage: Eukaryota; Metazoa; Arthropoda; Insecta; Diptera; Culicidae
Exons: 3
Source: RefSeq, a predicted model, not a curated record
CAAAUUUAAAAGUACAUCUUUUCAAAAAAAGAAUUGUAGAACAGUCAAACCAUCCAUUGAAAAUAACUUUCUUUUUGUUUUGCCGGUGACUGUCAUUUUCCAAUUCCCUAUCGUAGGUUGCAGAAAACAAAAACUGUUUAUUGUGCGCCAGCCUGACCUGGAAAUUUGAUCGUUUGCACCUUCUCCAAAUAAAUACUAUUAGAUAUACAGGUAAGCACAGAAUCUACGAUUACCGAUCAACAGAUUUCAAAAUGGUCCUCCGCGUAUGCAUCUCGUGGCGAAAGAACGCGGCUCCUUGUUGGAGGCUGGGUUUCAUGGUAGCGCACCCGAAAAUAUCCCAGCCCAUCAGAUAGAAUCGAAAGAUAUUUAACAUGGCAUUCCACGAUGGAUACGAUGCGCGUCCCAGUUUUUGGAGCUUCACAGUUACUGCUGCUUUCAUUUUUGUAGUUGUAAUUCAAAUUGAAAACUUUUGAAAUAAUGAUAAUCCACAUAUUAUGAUAAACGUAUACGAAUAAAAUAUAUUCAUAAAGACAACAUAAA